AUACGUAGGGGGCGAGCGUUGUCCGGAAUGAUCGGGCGUAAAGGGCGCGUAGGCGGCGCGGUAAGUCUGGAGUGAAAGUCCUGCUUUCAAGGUGGGAAUUGCUUUGGAUACUGCCGCGCUUGAGUGCAGGAGAGGUUAUCGGAAUUCCCGGUGUAGCGGUGAAAUGCGUAGAGAUCGGGAGGAACACCAGUGGCGAAGGCGGGUAACUGGACUGCAACUGACGCUGAGGCGCGAAAGUGUGGGGAGCAAACAGGAUUAGAUACCCUGGUAGUCCACACUGUAAACGAUGAAUGCUAGGUGUAAGAGGUAUCGACCCCUUUUGUGCCGGAGUCAACACAAUAAGCAUUCCGCCUGGGGAGUACGGCCGCAAGGUUGAAACUCAAAUGAAUUGACGGGG
This 397-nucleotide ribosomal RNA is filed under the name uncultured bacterium. Its description in RNAcentral is "partial 16S ribosomal RNA". It matches the Rfam family "Bacterial small subunit ribosomal RNA", at positions 523 to 918 of the family's 1533-position model. The record is from RNAcentral.